Molecule: transfer RNA, 75 nt
Filed under: Procambarus clarkii (red swamp crayfish)
Lineage: Eukaryota; Metazoa; Arthropoda; Malacostraca; Decapoda; Cambaridae
Description: transfer RNA threonine (anticodon CGU)
Rfam family: tRNA
About the family: Transfer RNA (tRNA) molecules are approximately 80 nucleotides in length. Their secondary structure includes four short double-helical elements and three loops (D, anti-codon, and T loops). Further hydrogen bonds mediate the characteristic L-shaped molecular structure. tRNAs have two regions of fundamental functional importance: the anti-codon, which is responsible for specific mRNA codon recognition, and the 3' end, to which the tRNAs corresponding amino acid is attached (by aminoacyl-tRNA synthetases). tRNAs cope with the degeneracy of the genetic code in two manners: having more than one tRNA (with a specific anti-codon) for a particular amino acid; and 'wobble' base-pairing, i.e. permitting non-standard base-pairing at the 3rd anti-codon position.
Source: RNAcentral
UGCCUCGUAGUGCCUGGUGGAUAGCACGCAGGACUCGUAAUUCUGUGGCGCGGGUUCGAUUCCCGCACGAGGCAG